Molecule: ribosomal RNA, 1068 nt
Filed under: uncultured Chytridiomycota
Lineage: Eukaryota; Fungi; Chytridiomycota
Description: SSU rRNA
Rfam family: Eukaryotic small subunit ribosomal RNA
Source: RNAcentral
GAAACUGCGAAUGGCUCAUUAUAUCAGUUAUAGUUUAUUUGGCGAUAAAAACUACUUGGAUAACCGUAGUAAUUCUAGUGCUAAUACAUGCUUUAAGCCCCGACUUCUGGAAGGGGUGUAUUUAUUAGAUAAAAAACCAAUCGUAGCAAUACGUUUACAGGUGAAUCAUGAUAACUAUUCGAAUCGCAUAGCUUUGCUGGCGAUGGUUCAUUCAAAUUUCUGCCCUAUCACCUUUCGAUGGUAGUAUAGAGGACUACCAUGGGUAUAACGGGUAACGGAGAAUUAGGGUUCGAUUCCGGAGAGGGAGCCUGAGAAACGGCUACCACAUCCAAGGAAGGCAGCAGGCGCGCAAAUUACCCAAUCCCGAUACGGGGAGGUAGUGACAAUAAAUAACAAUACAGAGCUUUUUAAGUUUUGUAAUUGUAAUGAGAACAAUUUAAACCUCUUAACGAGAACCAAUUGGAGGGCAAGUCUGGUGCCAGCAGCCGCGGUAAUUCCAGCUCCAAUAGCGUAUAUUAAAGUUGUUGCAGUUAAAAAGCUCGUAGUUGAACUUUGGCCUCGGCUGGGAGGUCUACUCGAAUGGGUAGUACUUCUUUGGCUGAGGCUUUCCUUCUGGCGAGCUAUUGUGCUAUUUGUUUAGUGCGAUAGGGAACCAGGACUUUUACUUUGAAAAAAUUAGAGUGUUUAAAGCAGGCUUACGCUUGAAUACAUUAGCAUGGAAUAAUAAAAUAGGACUUUGGUUUUAUUUUGUUGGUUUUCGAAACCAAAGUAAUGAUUAAUAGGGAUAGUUGGGGGCAUUCGUAUUUAGCCGUCAGAGGUGAAAUUCUUGGAUUGGCUAAAGACGAACUUCUGCGAAAGCAUUUGCCAAGGAUGUUUUCAUUAAUCAAGAACGAAAGUUAGGGGAUCGAAGACGAUCAGAUACCGUCGUAGUCUUAACCAUAAACUAUGCCGACUAGGGAUCGGACAAUGUUCAAUUAUGACUUGUUCGGCACCUUAUGAGAAAUCAAAGUUUUUAGGUUCCGGGGGGAGUAUGGUCGCAAGGCUGAAACUUAAAGGAAUUGACGGAAA